RNAcentral lists this unclassified non-coding RNA (18 nucleotides) under Chlamydomonas reinhardtii. Its description in RNAcentral is "small RNA Cre_1692". The record is from RNAcentral. Lineage: Eukaryota; Viridiplantae; Chlorophyta; Chlorophyceae; Chlamydomonadales; Chlamydomonadaceae.
GCCAGGGCCUGCCGCCGC